RNAcentral lists this non-coding RNA (234 nucleotides) under Paenibacillus sp. Its description in RNAcentral is "T-box sequence". It matches the Rfam family "T-box leader". From Rfam's summary of the family: Uncharged tRNA acts as the effector for transcription antitermination of genes in the T-box leader family. T-boxes are found upstream of many aminoacyl-tRNA synthetase genes and some amino acid biosynthetic genes usually in Gram-positive bacteria. The record is from RNAcentral. Lineage: Bacteria; Bacillati; Bacillota; Bacilli; Caryophanales; Paenibacillaceae.
UUUUAAACGUUGAUGAGGAGUACUAAUUUCGAAAUAUCACUCAGAGAGCCGACGAUGGGUGCAAGUCGGUUGAUAAAUUGAAAUGAACUUACCUCGGAGUCAUGAUAUGAAUGGAGAAGUUCCCGUGAAAUAUCAUCGUUUUACCCACGUUAAGGGUGUAAAGUGAGUGGAGAACAAAGAAUGUAUUCCGCUAACUAGGGUGGUACCACGGGAAUCAAACCUCUCGUCCCUAGC